RNAcentral lists this long non-coding RNA (230 nucleotides) under Setaria viridis. RNAcentral's name for it is "long non-coding RNA (SVIR_LNC000588)". Lineage: Eukaryota; Viridiplantae; Streptophyta; Magnoliopsida; Poales; Poaceae. The record is from RNAcentral.
AGGCAACCGCUCUUCCCGAAUUUUGCGCCGAUGGCGCGAUAAAAAUCCCGCCUUUACCCUUUUCUCGAACCGUCCUUCAAAUACUCGCAUCUUUCGCCGCUUCUUCUUCCCUGAGCUCAACAAACUUCUCUUGUCCAGCGAACCAUCUUUCGACGCACUCCGGCGCCCAUUCAGCUUCCAGCUACAUUUCUCCAGUGACUCCUCAUCUUUUGACCAAUUCGCACCAGUCC